RNAcentral lists this ribosomal RNA (276 nucleotides) under uncultured Glomus. Its description in RNAcentral is "partial 18S ribosomal RNA". It matches the Rfam family "Eukaryotic small subunit ribosomal RNA", at positions 548 to 829 of the family's 1831-position model. Lineage: Eukaryota; Fungi; Glomeromycota; Glomeromycetes; Glomerales; Glomeraceae. The record is from RNAcentral.
UUGGAGGGCAAGUCUGGUGCCAGCAGCCGCGGUAAUUCCAGCUCCAAUAGCGUAUAUUAAAGUUGUUGCAGUUAAAAAGCUCGUAGUUGAAUUUCGGGAUUAGUACGUCGGUCGUGCCUUAGGUACGUACUGGUAUUACUGGUUCCUACCUUCUGACGAACCAUCAUGUCAUUAAUUUGGUAUGGUGGGGAAUCAGGACUGUUACUUUGAAAAAAUUAGAGCGUUUAAAGCAGGCUCGCGCUUGAAUACAUUAGCAUGGAAUAAUGAAAUAGGACG